GAUGAACGCUGGCGGCGUGCCUAAUACAUGCAAGUCGAGCGGACCAAAGAGAGCUUGCUCUCUGAGGUUAGCGGCGGACGGGUGAGUAACACGUGGGUAACCUGCCUGUAAGACGGGGAUAACUUCGGGAAACCGAAGCUAAUACCGGAUGAUAAAGAGAAACGCCUGUUUCUUUUUUGAAAGUCGGCCUUGUGCUGACGCUUACAGAUGGGCCCGCGGCGCAUUAGCUAGUUGGUGAGGUAACGGCUCACCAAGGCGACGAUGCGUAGCCGACCUGAGAGGGUGGUCGGCCACACUGGGACUGAGACACGGCCCAGACUCCGACGGGAGGCAGCAGUAGGGAAUCGUCGGCAAUGGACGAAAGUCUGACCGAGCAACGCCGCGUGAGCGAUGAAGGCCUUCGGGUCGUAAAGCUCUGUUGUCAGAGAAGAACAAGUACCGGAGUAACUGCCGGUACCUUGACGGUACCUGACCAGAAAGCCACGGCUAACUACGUGCCAGCCGCCGCCGUAA
RNAcentral lists this ribosomal RNA (513 nucleotides) under uncultured bacterium. RNAcentral describes it as "partial 16S ribosomal RNA". It matches the Rfam family "Bacterial small subunit ribosomal RNA", at positions 28 to 523 of the family's 1533-position model. The record is from RNAcentral.